This 478-nucleotide ribosomal RNA is filed under the name uncultured bacterium. RNAcentral describes it as "partial 16S ribosomal RNA". It matches the Rfam family "Bacterial small subunit ribosomal RNA", at positions 28 to 523 of the family's 1533-position model. The record is from RNAcentral.
GACGAACGCUGGCGGCGUGCUUAACACAUGCAAGUCGAACGGUAAGGCCCUUCGGGGUACACGAGUGGCGAAUGGGUGAGUAACACGUGGGUGAUCUGCCCUGCACUUCGGGAUAAGCCUGGGAAACUGGGUCUAAUACCGGAUAGGACCACGCGCUUCACGGUGUGUGGUGGAAAGCUUUUGCGGUGUGGGAUGGGCCCGCGGCGUAUCAGCUUGUUGGUGGGGUAAGGGCCUACCAAGGCGACGACGGGUAGCCGGCCUGAGAGGGUGACCGGCCGCACUGGGACUGAGAUACGGCCCAGGCUCCUACGGGAGGUAGCAUUGGGGAAUUUUGCACAAUGGGCGCAAGCGUGAUGCAGCGACGCCGGGUGAGGGAUGACGGCCUUCGGGUUGUAAACCUCUUUCAGUAGGGACGAAGCGCAAGUGACGGUACCUACAGAAGAAGGACCGGCCAACUACGUGCCAGCCGCCGCAGUAA